This 765-nucleotide ribosomal RNA is filed under the name Rhodococcus sp. MIDE15. Its description in RNAcentral is "bacterial SSU rRNA". It matches the Rfam family "Bacterial small subunit ribosomal RNA", at positions 104 to 882 of the family's 1533-position model. The record is from RNAcentral. Lineage: Bacteria; Bacillati; Actinomycetota; Actinomycetes; Mycobacteriales; Nocardiaceae.
GGGUGAGUAACACGUGGGUGAUCUGCCCUGCACUUCGGGAUAAGCCUGGGAAACUGGGUCUAAUACCGGAUAUGACUUCAGGUUGCAUGACUUGGGGUGGAAAGAUUUAUCGGUGCAGGAUGGGCCCGCGGCCUAUCAGCUUGUUGGUGGGGUAAUGGCCUACCAAGGCGACGACGGGUAGCCGACCUGAGAGGGUGACCGGCCACACUGGGACUGAGACACGGCCCAGACUCCUACGGGAGGCAGCAGUGGGGAAUAUUGCACAAUGGGCGAAAGCCUGAUGCAGCGACGCCGCGUGAGGGAUGACGGCCUUCGGGUUGUAAACCUCUUUCAGCAGGGACGAAGCGCAAGUGACGGUACCUGCAGAAGAAGCACCGGCUAACUACGUGCCAGCAGCCGCGGUAAUACGUAGGGUGCAAGCGUUGUCCGGAAUUACUGGGCGUAAAGAGUUCGUAGGCGGUUUGUCGCGUCGUUUGUGAAAACCAGCAGCUCAACUGCUGGCUUGCAGGCGAUACGGGCAGACUUGAGUACUGCAGGGGAGACUGGAAUUCCUGGUGUAGCGGUGAAAUGCGCAGAUAUCANGAGGAACACCGGUGGCGAANGCGGGUCUCUGGGCAGUAACUGACGCUGANGAACGAAAGCGUGGGUAGCGAACAGGAUUAGAUACCCUGGUAGUCCACGCCGUAAACGGUGGGCGCUAGGUGUGGGUUCCUUCCACGGAAUCCGUGCCGUAGCUAACGCAUUAAGCGCCCCGCCUGGGGAGUA